CCAAACUCCUACGGGAGGCAGCAGUGAGGAAUAUUGGUCAAUGGACGAGAGUCUGAACCAGCCAAGUAGCGUGCAGGAUGACGGCCCUAUGGGUUGUAAAACUGCUUUUAUAAGGGAAUAAAGUGAGAGUCGUGACUCUUUUGCAUGUACCUUAUGAAUAAGGACCGGCUAAUUCCGUGC
This 180-nucleotide ribosomal RNA is filed under the name uncultured bacterium. RNAcentral's name for it is "partial 16S ribosomal RNA". It matches the Rfam family "Bacterial small subunit ribosomal RNA", at positions 331 to 508 of the family's 1533-position model. The record is from RNAcentral.